AGAGUUUGAUCAUGGCUCAGAUUGAACGCUGGCGGCAGGCCUAACACAUGCAAGUCGAGCGGUAGCACAGAGAGCUUGCUCUCGGGUGACGAGCGGCGGACGGGUGAGUAAUGUCUGGGAAACUGCCUGAUGGAGGGGGAUAACUACUGGAAACGGUAGCUAAUACCGCAUAACGUCGCAAGACCAAAGUGGGGGACCUUCGGGCCUCAUGCCAUCAGAUGUGCCCAGAUGGGAUUAGCUAGUAGGUGGGGUAAUGGCUCACCUAGGCGACGAUCCCUAGCUGGUCUGAGAGGAUGACCAGCCACACUGGAACUGAGACACGGUCCAGACUCCUACGGGAGGCAGCAGUGGGGAAUAUUGCACAAUGGGCGCAAGCCUGAUGCAGCCAUGCCGCGUGUGUGAAGAAGGCCUUCGGGUUGUAAAGCACUUUCAGCGGGGAGGAAGGCGNCGAUUGACGUUACCCGCAGAAGAAGCACCGGCUAACUCCGUGCCAGCAGCCGCGGUAAUACGGAGGGUGCAAGCGUUAAUCGGAAUUACUGGGCGUAAAGCGCACGCAGGCGGUCUGUCAAGUCGGAUGUGAAAUCCCCGGGCUCAACCUGGGAACUGCAUUCGAAACUGGCAGGCUAGAGUCUUGUAGAGGGGGGUAGAAUUCCAGGUGUAGCGGUGAAAUGCGUAGAGAUCUGGAGGAAUACCGGUGGCGAAGGCGGCCCCCUGGACAAAGACUGACGCUCAGGUGCGAAAGCGUGGGGAGCAAACAGGAUUAGAUACCCUGGUAGUCCACGCCGUAAACGAUGUCGAUUUGGAGGUUGUGCCCUUGAGGCGUGGCUUCCGGAGCUAACGCGUUAAAUCGACCGCCUGGGGAGUACGGCCGCAAGGUUAAAACUCAAAUGAAUUGACGGGGGCCCGCACAAGCGGUGGAGCAUGUGGUUUAAUUCGAUGCAACGCGAAGAACCUUACCUGGUCUUGACAUCCACAGAACUUUCCAGAGAUGGAUUGGUGCCUUCGGGAACUGUGAGACAGGUGCUGCAUGGCUGUCGUCAGCUCGUGUUGUGAAAUGUUGGGUUAAGUCCCGCAACGAGCGCAACCCUUAUCCUUUGUUGCCAGCGGUUAGGCCGGGAACUCAAAGGAGACUGCCAGUGAUAAACUGGAGGAAGGUGGGGAUGACGUCAAGUCAUCAUGGCCCUUACGACCAGGGCUACACACGUGCUACAAUGGCAUAUACAAAGAGAAGCGACCUCGCGAGAGCAAGCGGACCUCAUAAAGUAUGUCGUAGUCCGGAUUGGAGUCUGCAACUCGACUCCAUGAAGUCGGAAUCGCUAGUAAUCGUAGAUCAGAAUG
This 1338-nucleotide ribosomal RNA is filed under the name Klebsiella pneumoniae. Its description in RNAcentral is "bacterial SSU rRNA". It matches the Rfam family "Bacterial small subunit ribosomal RNA", at positions 8 to 1356 of the family's 1533-position model. Lineage: Bacteria; Pseudomonadati; Pseudomonadota; Gammaproteobacteria; Enterobacterales; Enterobacteriaceae. The record is from RNAcentral.